RNAcentral lists this long non-coding RNA (606 nucleotides) under Androctonus crassicauda. Lineage: Eukaryota; Metazoa; Arthropoda; Arachnida; Scorpiones; Buthidae. The record is from RNAcentral.
GUACUUUUUUGAUAAUACAUUGUUGAAGUACGACAAAGCAGUUUUAGAAAAGCUAUGAUCCAUUAUAUCCAUUUGUUCUCCAAAAACAGCAUCCUGCUCCUUUUAUCAUGCAUCUAUAACAUGUCCAAGCAUAGCAUUCACUUGACCAGUCCACAUAACGAAUGGUCUUUCAACUCUUCAUAUUUUGGUGCUUUAAGGUAUUUUGCAGUCCUCAAAUUGUUUUCCUUCAACUAUUUCUCCUUUUUACUUAAAAUGUCACCAACUCCUGAUGACUUUAUUGAGCAUGAGAAAAAUGAUUGGUAAUGGUAAUUGCUGACUCUGAUUAGAAUUGCUUUCCUGAAAGUUGUAAAUUUCUUAUAUUUCCUUCAUGGAAAUCCUGCCUUCUUCCUAAUUGCCAUGGCUAACUCUCGGGCACUCUUCCAGAAUUGAUUGAUCCUAGUUGAUGGAACUUGGUUGUCUUGAUCAACCUAAUCCCUUUCUGAAAGUAGAUUGAUGCUAUACCUUUAGAUUUCAAAUUGCCACUGGGUAAAAAUUAGUUUAUAACUAGAUAUACUGUAUAUUACUAAAUGUUAAAAUAACUACGUCUAAAAAUGCACUACGGGCAAG